UACGUAGGGGGCAAGCGUUAUCCGGAAUUACUGGGUGUAAAGGGAGCGUAGACGGUGAAGUAAGUCUGGAGUGAAAGGCGGGGGCUCAACCCCCGGACUGCUCUGGAAACUGUACAGCUGGAGUGCAGGAGAGGUAAGUGGAAUUCCUAGUGUAGCGGUGAAAUGCGUAGAUAUUAGGAGGAACACCAGUGGCGAAGGCGACUUACUGGACUGUAACUGACGCUGAGGCAUGAGAGCAUGGGGAGCAAACAGG
Molecule: ribosomal RNA, 253 nt
Filed under: uncultured Eubacteriales bacterium
Lineage: Bacteria; Bacillati; Bacillota; Clostridia; Eubacteriales
Description: uncultured Clostridiales bacterium partial 16S ribosomal RNA
Rfam family: Bacterial small subunit ribosomal RNA
Source: RNAcentral